RNAcentral lists this ribosomal RNA (413 nucleotides) under uncultured microorganism. RNAcentral describes it as "bacterial SSU rRNA". It matches the Rfam family "Archaeal small subunit ribosomal RNA", at positions 330 to 745 of the family's 1478-position model. The record is from RNAcentral.
GCGCAGCAGGCGAGAAACCUUCGCAAUGCGGGAAACCGCGACGAGGGGACUCCCAGUGCCUACGCUCAGCGUAGGCUGUUCCCGAGCCUAGAAAGCUCGGGGAGUAAGGGCUGGGUAAGACGGGUGCCAGCCGCCGCGGUAAUACCCGCAGCCCGAGUGGUGGCCACUAUUAUUGGGCCUAAAGCGUCCGUAGCCGGCCCGGUAAAUGCCUGGGUAAAUCGUGAGGCCUAACCUCACGAAUUCCGGGUAGACUGCCGGGCUAGGGACUGGAGGAGGGAGAGGGUACUCCAGGGGUAGGGGUGAAAUCCUGUAAUCCCUGGAGGACCACCGGUGGCGAAGGCGCUCUCCUAGGACGGGUCCGACGGUGAGGGACGAAAGCCAGGGGAGCGAACCGGAUUAGAUACCCGUGUAGU